UGGCUAUCUGAGAAGGUGGUGGCACCAGACUGCUGUGGCAGCUCUUCGUGCCUGGAGAUUCCCUGCGUGUGGGGGAACCCCAGCACCGGUGCCGCACAGUCCCCAGCAUCACAAAACCCUCGUGCACUGCCGCAUAUCUGCAACGCCAGCUGGUGCUCCCCAUUUGUGGCAGCCUCUCUGGAAGCUCCAAGGCGGUGGGUUAGGUCAGUGGUGGGCUCACCUGCGCAACUCCUUCACCUAUUGAGCAAGCAGCUCUGGGCCACCGAACAGCCCACGAAUAUUCAAGUAGCAGUUCAUACUCGAAUGGAGCAUCAUCUUCUGCUUUAGCAUAAGCCUGUUUGACUUCCAGCUGAACCAGGGAAAAGAAACACAACGCGACACGACCAUCCCCAGGCAAAAAUAGUGGCAGCCCCCCAAGGACGUGCUAGGCGGAUUUUCAUUUACGGCUCUGGUUAUAAGUACACCAAGCUCUCCGCCUGGCAAAACCCCUUCGUUUGAUGUGAAAAGGUGGGAAGCAGGGGGGUUUCUGCAUGUUUUAUCUGCAUACACUGCUCCUUUGAGAUGCAACCGGGAACCGGGGCAUCGUGUCACAGUCUGAGGGCUGUGGAGCAGCACCUUAAAUAAGGGCUUCGCUUGCGUGUGGAUUUCUUUGCAGCCGAGUUUCUCUUCCCUUUUGUCUUAUGAGUCGACAUUAUCCUCCGCUCACAGUUCAUAUCCUCAGUUCAUAUCCUAUUCCUUAGGGUUUUAUAACAGAUCAUGUGAUUUUACUUAACUCCCUUGCUCUCUGGGCCACCAAGGUGUUUACACAAGGCGUACUGUGCAGAGGCAGUUUCGUUUCUGCAGAAAGGCUGCUCGGCGCUGGCAGCUUUCACAAUUCCUUGGACAAUCCUACCCUGUUAUGUAUUUUUUUCCUUUCAAGCCAAACCUCCUAGAAGUCAAUGAUUUUACCUGAUUGUCUUCAUGGGAAUUUAUUUCAAGUACUUUUGAAGCCUUCAUAAUUACGGAUAAUCAUAAAGAAGGUGGCAAAUAAAAAUGUCAUAAGUGGGUUUGGUUUUUAUCUU
RNAcentral lists this long non-coding RNA (1061 nucleotides) under Struthio camelus australis. RNAcentral's name for it is "lncRNA (ENSSCUG00000001276.1)". Lineage: Eukaryota; Metazoa; Chordata; Aves; Struthioniformes; Struthionidae. The record is from RNAcentral.